This is a long non-coding RNA of Bubalus bubalis (water buffalo), 715 nucleotides long. RefSeq lists it as uncharacterized. The transcript is spliced from 2 exons. Lineage: Eukaryota; Metazoa; Chordata; Mammalia; Artiodactyla; Bovidae. The record is from RefSeq and is a predicted model, not a curated record.
GGAGAAUCCCAGGGACGGGGGAGCCUGGUGGGCUGCCGUCUAUGGGGUCGCACAGAGUCGGACACGACUGAAGUGACUUAGCAGCAGUAGCAGCAGCAGCAGGAGAGAGGCUACGUUAUGCUGUGUGGUUAUGUUAUGUUACGUUGUUAUGUUAUGUUAGUCUGCUGCUACGGCUGCUGUGCCAGACAGGAGAGAAUAAAAAGUUCUAUUCAACCCCUGGGUUGGGAAGAUCCCCCGGAGAAGGGAAAGGCUACCCACUGCAGUAUUCUGGCCUGGAGAAUUCCAUGGACUACAUGCAGAGUCGGACACGACUGAGCAACUUUCACUUUGAUUCAUCUAUUCGAGUUCCAGCUAAGAUGUGAUUUCCUCAGAGAAAUGCUUCCUGACCCUCUCCCUGCCCCAAAGCUGACCCCCUAUUUUGUUCUCCCUCAAAGCAUCUUUUACUUUUCCUGCAUAGCAGUUACCAGAAUUGUAGUAAAAUUAUUUGCUUAUUUAAAGUCCAUCUUUCUAGGCAGUCAGAAAUGUGCAUGAGGGCAGAAACUCAUGUCUCUAUUGGUCAGUAUGAGGCACAUGGUAGGAGCUCAGUGCAUAUUUUUGAACUCAUGUAGGUGCUCCUAAGUCCUACAUGGAUGUCCUGUCUCUCAAGUUGAACUAGAUGUUUCUAGUUGGACUAAAUGUUUUCUAAUUAAUUGUCUCCUCACAUAAUACCUGUACU